Molecule: ribosomal RNA, 545 nt
Filed under: Tephritis sp. n. 3 SVK-2019
Lineage: Eukaryota; Metazoa; Arthropoda; Insecta; Diptera; Tephritidae
Description: partial large subunit ribosomal RNA
Rfam family: Bacterial large subunit ribosomal RNA (bases 398-545)
Source: RNAcentral
CAAAAACAUGUUUUUUUGAGUUAUUUUUAAAGUUUAACCUGCCCAAUGAAAAUUUUUUAAUGGCCGCAGUAAUUUGACUGUGCAAAGGUAGCAUAAUAAUUAGUCUUUUAAUUGAAGGCUUGUAUGAAUGGUUGGACGAAGUAUAAUCUGUUUCAUUUAAAUUUAUUAUAGAAUUUUAUUUUUUAGUAAAAAAGCUAAAAUUUUUUUAAAAGACGAGAAGACCCUAUAAAUCUUUAUAAUUUAUAUUUAUUUUUUUUUUUUUGAUUUAUUUUAUUUUAAUAAUUUAGAUUAUUUUAUUGGGGUGAUAUUAAAAUUUAAAUAACUUUUAAUUUUUUUUUACAUUAAUUUAUGAUUUAUUGAUCCAUUAAUAAUGAUUAAAAGAAUAAGUUACUUUAGGGAUAACAGCGUAAUUUUUUUGGAGAGUUCUUAUUGAUAAAAAAGUUUGCGACCUCGAUGUUGGAUUAAGAUAUAAUUUUAGGUGUAGUUGCUUAAAUAAUAAGUCUGUUCGACUUUUAAAUUCUUACAUGAUCUGAGUUCAAACCGGA